Molecule: long non-coding RNA, 1148 nt
Filed under: Homo sapiens (human)
Lineage: Eukaryota; Metazoa; Chordata; Mammalia; Primates; Hominidae
Description: HSALNT0013379
Source: RNAcentral
AGCCAGUCCCCUCGGGACCCUUCCGCCCGGCCCUGACGGCAGGGGCGGGGCGAGGGCUGCCCUCUGAUUGGCUCUUCGGGUGAAUGGUUGCCAAGAGACGAGUAAAUCCUCAGCGGCGGGAAGGGGCGGGGUGCUCAGGGAGGCAGCACUGCGCAAGCGCAAUAGAGGGGGCUGCGUCGACACCCACUUAACUUCGGAGUUAGUGGGACACCUUUCUUUUUGCUUAGUGCUGGGGGAAAAGAUUACUUCCCAGAUGCAGUAUUUACAUCUCCUCCGCCCUACUCUUCCAACCCUGCCUGAAAUAAGUGUGGUUCUCCUGUCUGUCAGACUAUGAAGAGUUCUCAAAUAUGUCUUUCCCAGCGAGGGAGAGGAGAAAACUUCAGCCUCCACGAUCGAUGUUUCUCAAGUGUCAAGGAAAAUGGAGCCUAGGAGGGCAGCCCCACAAGCAGCGUGAUGGGCAUUUAAGCCGACGCAUGUGCCAGGUCCUAGAACAGAGUAACUUCCCCAUCUCAACACAAUAAAAUGGUGAUAUGAGAAUACCUGUCUUAUGCGGAUGUUGUGAGGAUGAAGUGGGCUAAUUCACACACAGGAAGUUUUCAAAAAAUGUCAGCUAGUAUUAUUCAGGAGGCUUCCCUCUCUGGGACUGAGAUUCUUCUCCUGAAAAAGGAGGGAAUCUUCCAGAAAAUCUCCAGGGCCCCUACCAGCCUGACAUGCAGCUCUUGGCAGAGAAUGGAGCUGAGGCAGGAGCUUCUUCAAAGACCCUCUCAUUGAGGAGCAAGGGACCCUGACCAGCCAUUGCCCACUGUUCACCACGUGAGGUCACAGGGACUGUCUGCUAGGCGGCCCCCAGGCCCCUCAGGGAAGACAUUGAUGUUAGUUUUGUUUUUGUUUUGUUUUCAGUGUAGAAAUGUAGCAGAGAAACACAGGGCAAGUCCACGCUGAUCAUCACAUACAUGGUACAUCAAGAGCAGGGCUGAGCACGCAGUCUAAGACAUUGUGUCAUCCUGUGGGGCUCAGGCUCCUCAUCCAUACAAUAGGGUCACCCUGCCUGUCACUUGGAGUAACCAUGAGAAUUACAUAAGAUAACCUGUGUGACCUGUGAAAGUGUGUGUCCCAUCACAGCACCUGGUGCAUAUCUGUUUUCCUUC